RNAcentral lists this long non-coding RNA (208 nucleotides) under Mytilus galloprovincialis (Mediterranean mussel). Lineage: Eukaryota; Metazoa; Mollusca; Bivalvia; Mytilida; Mytilidae. The record is from RNAcentral.
AUCCCCACAAGAGGCCUGUGAAUAAACUAGUGGUAAGGCCAGAUCAACAUAUUCUCCUGAAAUGUUUUAACUUAUCGACAUUUCUUUCAAGCUCAUCAUUGUCCUUACUACACGGAGAUGGGUUUUGAAAAACUGGAAAAUUACCUGAUUAUCAUCAGCAGAACUAGAAGUAGCGGUCGUGAAUACCGGAGCCAUAGUCAUAGACAUA